RNAcentral lists this ribosomal RNA (215 nucleotides) under Escherichia coli. RNAcentral's name for it is "partial 23S ribosomal RNA". It matches the Rfam family "Bacterial large subunit ribosomal RNA", at positions 2126 to 2340 of the family's 2925-position model. Lineage: Bacteria; Pseudomonadati; Pseudomonadota; Gammaproteobacteria; Enterobacterales; Enterobacteriaceae. The record is from RNAcentral.
GAGCCUUGAUGUGUAGGAUAGGUGGGAGGCUUUGAAGUGUGGACGCCAGUCUGCAUGGAGCCGACCUUGAAAUACCACCCUUUAAUGUUUGAUGUUCUAACGUUGACCCGUGAUCCGGGUUGCGGACAGUGUCUGGUGGGUAGUUUGACUGGGGCGGUCUCCUCCUAAAGAGUAACGGAGGAGCACGAAGGUUGGCUAAUCCUGGUCGGACAUCA